Molecule: long non-coding RNA, 1829 nt
Organism: Nerophis ophidion (straightnose pipefish)
Lineage: Eukaryota; Metazoa; Chordata; Actinopteri; Syngnathiformes; Syngnathidae
Exons: 2
Source: RefSeq, a predicted model, not a curated record
ACUGCAUGUUUAAAAGGAGCAACAAGAGAAGGAGUGAGACAGGCAGGGGCGAGAGAGGUUGGAUGAAGGAUCGACAGAGGGAAACGACAGGCUUUGACGACAGGAGAGAGGGGACGGCAGGAUUCGGCAGGUUCUGGCCGCAACGGGGAAGAAUCUGCGGCUUGGCCGAGAGCGACCGGGUAGACGCACGCAGGCUGGGAAGGAACCCCCGGACCACGCAGUAAACCCCUCAGGCUACCGGAACGAACCCCAAGAAGUCAACAACAGGCAGGGGCAGAGGAAACUCUGCCGCCAAAGUAAGUGCCGUGCGUUGUGGAUCUGUGGGCACACCCAACUGCCUUUGGCUGUGGGCUUGCGGGCUCGUGCGUCGUACGCUGGCUGUGUGGGUCUGUGGACAGGGGGGCGAUUUGGACCCAGAGACCUGCGGAGACCCCCAGAGCGACCAGGAGGCGGAGCGGGACAGGCACGGCCAUGUGGGUCCCGCGAGUGACUGGAGACUGGCGAGGAGAGUGGGCGUGCCUCAACACUUGGACGUGGAACUACAGCAAAGGAGGACGCCGAGGAAGGGGGCGGAGUCAAGAUACCCACAUGCCUGUCGGCCCCUCGCCCAUCACAUUUGUACCAUCAGGUAUUUUAGUAUCAACAACGUGACUGUUUUUUUAAUGUAUUGUAGCGUCCCGGAAGAGUUGGUGUCGCAAGGGGUUCUGGGUAUUUGUGUUGUUGUGUUUCUGUUGCUUUGCGGUGCUGAUGUUCUCCCGAAAUGCAUUUGUUGUUCUUGUUUGGUGUGAUUCACAGUGGGGUGCAUGUUUGUGACAGUUUUGGUGUUGUUUUUGCGGCCACCAUAAGUGUGACCUGUGGGGCUGUUGAUAAGUACGCAUUGCUUUCACUUGCGUGGGUGUGUUCAAAUUUAACAUGAUCAUUAAAGAUGUUAAUAUUUGUACAACGUGUCAGCAUUUCAUGAUGUCUUUAAGCAGAGACUUUCUAAGACUCUCGUCCAACGCUACAGUGUCAUAAUAAAUUGUGAACCGGUUAUACAUCUUUUCUUAUUUUGGGCAGCUGGAUCUCACUACUUUGGGUUCUUAAUAUUUAUAUUACCAAUUUUUAUUGGUUUUAAGUAACAUCUGUGUCAGAUUUUAAUAUUUUUACCACUCGGGACCAUUACAUAAAUACAAUCAUGUUUAACCUGCGUGAUGACUGUAUUAUGCUGAUAGUAUAUAUUUGUACCAUGAAUUGAUUAACCUGGACCCCGAAUAACAAGUUUAAAAACUUAUUCGGGUGUUAACAUUUAGUGGUCAAUUGUACGGAAUGUGUGCUGAACUGUGCAAUUUACUAAUAAAAGUAUCAAUCAAUCACUGAAGUAUUUCGAUUACUAGUCCGUUUAAUUUGAUUGUCACAGAAGUCCAUGAAAAUAAAGUCAUACAUUUUUUUCUACAAAAAUGUGCAGGUUUAAAAAUGUUUUACAUACUGGUUUGGGCACGUUUUAAGUACUUUUUUUUAAAAUAUCAAUUAGGUACUGGUAUCGGUUCAAAUUUAAACAAUACCAUCCCUAAUGAUUAUACAUUAAGAAAAGUCAGUGAUACAAGAAAACAUCCAUUCAUUUUCUACCGCUUGUCCCUUUUGGGGUGGCGGGGGGUCGCUGGAGCCUAUCUCAGCUGCAUUCGGGUGGAAGGCGGAGUACACCCUGGACAAGUCGCUACCUCAUCACAGUACAAGAAAACAACUUAAGAAUAAACUGUUCCGUAAAAAUAAACAAAGCAGAAACAAUGCAAACAUAAAUUACAGUAUGCACUGGGAAAAAAAAUACAUGUAUGAGUAUGUAAAUAGAUCGA